This 253-nucleotide ribosomal RNA is filed under the name uncultured bacterium. RNAcentral's name for it is "partial 16S ribosomal RNA". It matches the Rfam family "Bacterial small subunit ribosomal RNA", at positions 524 to 776 of the family's 1533-position model. The record is from RNAcentral.
UACGGAGAGUGCAAGCGUUAUCCGGAUUCACUGGGUUUAAAGGGUGCGUAGGUGGGUCUGUAAGUCAGUGGUGAAAUCUCCGGGCUUAACCCGGAAACUGCCAUUGAUACUAUAGGUCUUGAAUUAUCUGGAGGUGAGCGGAAUAUGUCAUGUAGCGGUGAAAUGCUUAGAUAUGACAUAGAACACCAAUUGCGAAGGCAGCUCACUACGGAUAUAUUGACACUGAGGCACGAAAGCGUGGGGAUCAAACAGG